UAUUAGAGGAGUANAGUCGUAACACGUUUCCGUAGGUGAACCUGCGGAAGGAUCAUUAAUGAAUUUUGAAAGGGACUGAUGCUGACUCCUUUGGAGUAUGUGCUCGGUUCCACUCAAAUCCAUAUUACACCUGUGCACCUUCGAAGUUUGUAGUCCUCCGUCAUGGGAGUCGUGGUCUUGUAAUGAGAUCACUGGGACUAUGACUUUGCCCAUACUUUACAAACCAAUUAUAAUGUUCUGUAGAAAGUCAAAGUCUAAGGACUUUAAAAUGUUAAUACAACUUUCAACAACGGAUCUCUUGGCUCUCGCAUCGAUGAAGAACGCAGCGAAAUGCGAUAAGUAAUGUGAAUUGCAGAAUUCAGUGAAUCAUCGAAUCUUUGAACGCACCUUGCACUCCUUGGUAUUCCGAGGAGUAUGCCUGUUUGAGUGUCAUAUAAUCAUCAAUCUCACUACCUUUGUUGGCUUUGGAUUGGUUUUGGGGACUGUUGACUCUCUCAGAGUCUGACUUCCCUUGAAUGCAUUAGUUGGACCUUUGUUUCGGCGCAUAUAUGCAGUGUGAUAAUAUCUUCACUGUGUCAGUCCAGAUGAAGUCUGACUUCUAAUCGUCUUCGGACAAUAUUAUUGACCAAUUGGCCUCAAAUCAGGUAGGACUACCCGCUGAACUUAAGCAUAUCAAUAAGCGGAGGAAAAGAAACUAACAAGGAUUCCCCUAGUAACUGCGAGUGAAGCGGGAAAAGCUCAAAUUUAAAAUCUGACAGUUUCACUGUCCGAGUUGUAAUCUGGAGAAGCAUUUUCCGUGUUGGACCGUGUACAAGUCUCUUGGAAUAGAGCGUCAUAGAGGGUGAGAAUCCCGUCCAUGACACGGACUACCAAUACUUUGUGAUAUGCUCUCGAAGAGUCGAGUUGUUUGGGAAUGCAGCUCAAAAUGGGUGGUAAGUUCCAUCUAAAGCUAAAUAUUGGCGAGAGACCGAUAGCGAACAAGUACCGUGAGGGAAAGAUGAAAAGCACUUUGAAAAGAGAGUUAAACAGUACGUGAAAUUGUUGAAAGGGAAACGCUUGAAGUCAGUCGCAUUGAUUAGAACUCAGCCUUGCUAUUACUGCUUGGUGUACUUUCUAUUUGAUGGGUCAACAUCAAUUUUGGUCGGUGGACAAAGGUUGGAGGAAUGUGAUAUCCUUUUGGAUGUGUUAUAGCCUUCUUCCGUAUACACUGGCUGAGAUUGAGGUCUGCAGCACGCCUUUAUGGCCGGGGUUCGCCCACGUUACGUGCUUAGGAUGUUGGCAUAAUGGCUUAAGCGACCCGUCUUGAAACACGGACCAAGGAGUCUAACAUGCUUGCGAGUAUUAGAGUGGAAAACUCUUAUGCGUAAUGAAAGUGAAAGUUGGGACUCUUCAUCGAGGCACCGACGCCCGGCUCUGAAGUUUACUGACGAUGCCGCGGUAGAGCACGUAUGUUGGGACCCGAAAGAUGGUGAACUAUGCCUGAAUAGGGUGAAGCCAGGGGAAACUCUGGUGGAGGCUCGUAGCGAUUCUGACGUGCAAAUCGAUCGUCAAAUUUGGGUAUAGGGGCGAAAGACUAAUCGAACCAUCUAGUAGCUGGUGGCUGCCGAAGUUUCCCUCAGGAUAGCAGAAACUCAUAUCAGAUUUAUGUGGUAAAACGAAUGAUUCGAGGCCUUGGGGUUUAAAUGACCUUAACCUAAUCUCUAACUUGAAAUAUGUACGAACUAGUCCGUCUCUUAGUUUGGACCGUUUGGCGAUUGGGAGUAUCUAGAGGGCCAUUUAUGGUAAGCAGAACUGGCGAUGCAGGAUGAACCGAACGCGAGGUUAAGGUGUCCGGAAUACACGCUCAUCUGACGCCAUCAAAANGUGUUCAGAUGCAUCUAGUACAGUCACGGUACAGGGUGGCCCAUUGGGNAAGCUUCUGGAAAUUCCCGCCUAUACGG
The sequence is a ribosomal RNA, 1940 nucleotides long. The stretch from base 631 to 1940 matches the Rfam family "Eukaryotic large subunit ribosomal RNA", at positions 1 to 1300 of the family's 3401-position model.